AACGAACGCUGGCGGCAUGCCUAACACAUGCAAGUCGAACGAGACCUUCGGGUCUAGUGGCGCACGGGUGCGUAACGCGUGGGAACCUGCCCUUAGGUUCGGAAUAACUCCCCGAAAGGGGUGCUAAUACCGGAUAAUGUCUUCGGACCAAAGAUUUAUCGCCUUUGGAUGGGCCCGCGUUGGAUUAGCUAGUUGGUAGGGUAAAAGCCUACCAAGGCGACGAUCCAUAGCUGAUCUGAGAGGAUGAUCAGCCACACUGGGACUGAGACACGGCCCAGACUCCUACGGGAGGCAGCAGUGGGGAAUAUUGGACAAUGGGCGAAAGCCUGAUCCAGCAAUGCCGGGUGAGUGAUGAAGGCCUUAGGGUUGUAAAGCUCUUUUACCCGGGAUGAUAAUGACAGUACCGGGAGAAUAAGCUCCGGCUAACUCCGUG
Molecule: ribosomal RNA, 433 nt
Filed under: uncultured bacterium
Lineage: Bacteria
Description: partial 16S ribosomal RNA
Rfam family: Bacterial small subunit ribosomal RNA
Source: RNAcentral